This 1069-nucleotide ribosomal RNA is filed under the name Francisella-like endosymbiont of Hyalomma rufipes. Its description in RNAcentral is "bacterial SSU rRNA". It matches the Rfam family "Bacterial small subunit ribosomal RNA", at positions 169 to 1236 of the family's 1533-position model. The record is from RNAcentral. Lineage: Bacteria; Pseudomonadati; Pseudomonadota; Gammaproteobacteria; Thiotrichales; Francisellaceae.
CCGCAUAGUAUCUGUGGAUUAAAGGUGGCUUUUGGGCUGUCGCAGAUGGAUGAGCCUGCGUUGGAUUAGCUAGUUGGUAGGGUAAGGGCCUACCAAGGCUGCGAUCCAUAGCUGAUUUGAGAGGAUGAUCAGCCACAUUGGGACUGAGACACGGCCCAAACUCUUACGGGAGGCAGCAGUGAGGAAUAUUGGACAAUGGGGGCAACCCUGAUCCGGCAAUGCCAUGUGUGUGAAGAAGGCCUUAGGGUUGUAAAGCACUUUAGUUGGGGAAGAAAGCUUUGAGGUUAAUAGCCUUGAGGAAGGACGUUACCCAAAGAAUAAGCACCGGCUAACUCCGUGCCAGCAGCCGCGGUAAUACGGGGGGUGCAAGCGUUAAUCGGAAUUACUGGGCGUAAAGGGUCUGUAGGUGGUUUGUUAAGUCAGAUGUGAAAGCCCAGGGCUCAACCUUGGAACUGCAUUUGAUACUGGCACACUAGAGUACGGUAGAGGAAUGAGGAAUUUCUGGUGUAGCGGUGAAAUGCGUAGAGAUCAGAAGGAACACCAAUGGCGAAGGCAACAUUCUGGACCGAUACUGACACUGAGGGACGAAAGCGUGGGGAUCAAACAGGAUUAGAUACCCUGGUAGUCCAUGCUGUAAACGAUGAGUACUAGCUGUUGGAGUCGGUGUAAAGGCUCUAGUGGCGCAGCUAACGCGAUAAGUACUCCGCCUGGGGACUACGGCCGCAAGGCUAAAACUCAAAGGAAUUGACGGGGAUCCGCACAAGCGGUGGAGCAUGUGGUUUAAUUCGAUGCAACGCGAAGAACCUUACCUGGUCUUGACAUCCUGCGAGCUUUCUAGAAAUAGAUUGGUGCCUUAGGGAACGCAGUGACAGGUGCUGCACGGCUGUCGUCAGCUCGUGUUGUGAAAUGUUGGGUUAAGUCCCGCAACGAGCGCAACCCCUAUUGAUAGUUACCAUCAUUAAGUUGGGUACUCUAUUGAGACUGCCGCUGACAAGGCGGAGGAAGGUGGGGACGACGUCAAGUCAUCAUGGCCCUUACGACCAGGGCUACACACGUGCUACAAUGGGUA